RNAcentral lists this ribosomal RNA (374 nucleotides) under Clostridioides difficile. RNAcentral describes it as "bacterial SSU rRNA". It matches the Rfam family "Bacterial small subunit ribosomal RNA", at positions 1 to 382 of the family's 1533-position model. The record is from RNAcentral. Lineage: Bacteria; Bacillati; Bacillota; Clostridia; Peptostreptococcales; Peptostreptococcaceae.
UUUUAUUUGAGAGUUUGAUCCUGGCUCAGGAUGAACGCUGGCGGCGUGCCUAACACAUGCAAGUUGAGCGAUUUACUUCGGUAAAGAGCGGCGGACGGGUGAGUAACGCGUGGGUAACCUACCCUGUACACACGGAUAACAUACCGAAAGGUAUGCUAAUACGGGAUAAUAUAUUUGAGAGGCAUCUCUUAAAUAUCAAAGGUGAGCCAGUACAGGAUGGACCCGCGUCUGAUUAGCUAGUUGGUAAGGUAACGGCUUACCAAGGCGACGAUCAGUAGCCGACCUGAGAGGGUGAUCGGCCACAUUGGAACUGAGACACGGUCCAAACUCCUACGGGAGGCAGCAGUGGGGAAUAUUGCACAAUGGGCGAAAGC